CCCUUAGAUGUCCGGGGCCGCACGCGCGCUACACUGAAGGAAUCAGCGUGGAUGCCUCCCUGGUCCGAAAGGAUUGGGAAACCCGUUGAAUCUCCUUCGUGCUAGGGAUUGGGGCUUGUAAUUCUUCCCCAUGAACGAGGAAUACCUUGUAAGCGCGGGUCAUCAUCCCGCGCUGAAUACGUCCCUGCCCUUUGUACACACCGCCCGUCGCUCCUACCGAUUGAGUGGUCCGGUGAGGCUUUGGGAUCUGAGCGGAAAGAGCGUUUCGCUGUUUCUGCUCGGAAAACUCAGUCGAACCUUAUCAUUUAGAGGAAGGAGAAGUCGUAACA
This 329-nucleotide ribosomal RNA is filed under the name uncultured eukaryote. RNAcentral describes it as "partial 18S ribosomal RNA". It matches the Rfam family "Eukaryotic small subunit ribosomal RNA", at positions 1470 to 1796 of the family's 1831-position model. The record is from RNAcentral.